GAUGAACGCUGGCGGCGUGCUUAACACAUGCAAGUCGAACGAGAAGUGACGACGGAAACCUUCGGGCGGAAGGCUUAAUUUCGAGUGGCGGACGGGUGAGUAAGGCGUGGGUAACCUGCCUCAUUCAGGGGGAUAACAGUUGGAACCGACUGUUAAUACCGCAUAAGACCACAGCACCGCAUGGUGCGGGGGUAAAAACUGCGUUGGUAUGAGAUGGACCCGCGUUCGAUUAGCCAGUUGGCGGUGGAACGGCCCACCAAAGCGACGAUCGAUAGCCGAUCUGAGAGGAUGACCGACCACAUUUGGACUGAGACCCGGCCCAAACUCCUACGGGAGGCAGCAGUAGGGAAUAUUGCACAAUGGGGGAAACCCUGAUGCAGCGACGCCGCGUGAGUGAAGAAUUAUGUCGGUAUGUAAAGCUCUAUCAGCAGGGAAGAAAAUGACGGUACCUGAGUAAGAAGCCCCGGCUAACUACGUG
RNAcentral lists this ribosomal RNA (478 nucleotides) under uncultured bacterium. RNAcentral describes it as "partial 16S ribosomal RNA". It matches the Rfam family "Bacterial small subunit ribosomal RNA", at positions 28 to 507 of the family's 1533-position model. The record is from RNAcentral.